GUGGGGAAUAUUGCACAAUGGGGGAAACCCUGAUGCAGCGACGCCGCGUGAGUGAAGAAGUAAUUCGUUAUGUAAAGCUCUAUCAGCAAGGAAGAAAAAAGACGGUACUUGACUAAGAAGCCCCGGCUAAAUACGUGCCAGCAGCCGCGGUAAUACGUAUGGGGCAAGCGUUAUCCGGAUUUACUGGGUGUAAAGGGAGCGUAGACGGCAUGGCAAGUCUGAUGUGAAAGGCUGGGGCUCAACCCCGGGACUGCAUUGGAAACUGUCUGGCUGGAGUGCGGGAGAGGUAAGUGGAAUUCCUAGUGUAGCGGUGAAAUGCGUAGAUAUUAGGAGGAACACCAGUGGCGAAGGCGGCUUACUGGACCGUAACUGACGUUGAGGCUCGAAAGCGUGGGGAGCAAACAGGAUUAGAAACCCUAGUAGUCC
RNAcentral lists this ribosomal RNA (426 nucleotides) under uncultured bacterium. RNAcentral describes it as "bacterial SSU rRNA". It matches the Rfam family "Bacterial small subunit ribosomal RNA", at positions 354 to 796 of the family's 1533-position model. The record is from RNAcentral.